RNAcentral lists this ribosomal RNA (1488 nucleotides) under Lactiplantibacillus pentosus. RNAcentral describes it as "bacterial SSU rRNA". It matches the Rfam family "Bacterial small subunit ribosomal RNA". The record is from RNAcentral. Lineage: Bacteria; Bacillati; Bacillota; Bacilli; Lactobacillales; Lactobacillaceae.
GACGAACGCUGGCGGCGUGCCUAAUACAUGCAAGUCGAACGAACUCUGGUAUUGAUUGGUGCUUGCAUCAUGAUUUACAUUUGAGUGAGUGGCGAACUGGUGAGUAACACGUGGGAAACCUGCCCAGAAGCGGGGGAUAACACCUGGAAACAGAUGCUAAUACCGCAUAACAACUUGGACCGCAUGGUCCGAGUUUGAAAGAUGGCUUCGGCUAUCACUUUUGGAUGGUCCCGCGGCGUAUUAGCUAGAUGGUGGGGUAACGGCUCACCAUGGCAAUGAUACGUAGCCGACCUGAGAGGGUAAUCGGCCACAUUGGGACUGAGACACGGCCCAAACUCCUACGGGAGGCAGCAGUAGGGAAUCUUCCACAAUGGACGAAAGUCUGAUGGAGCAACGCCGCGUGAGUGAAGAAGGGUUUCGGCUCGUAAAACUCUGUUGUUAAAGAAGAACAUAUCUGAGAGUAACUGUUCAGGUAUUGACGGUAUUUAACCAGAAAGCCACGGCUAACUACGUGCCAGCAGCCGCGGUAAUACGUAGGUGGCAAGCGUUGUCCGGAUUUAUUGGGCGUAAAGCGAGCGCAGGCGGUUUUUUAAGUCUGAUGUGAAAGCCUUCGGCUCAACCGAAGAAGUGCAUCGGAAACUGGGAAACUUGAGUGCAGAAGAGGACGGUGGAACUCCAUGUGUAGCGGUGAAAUGCGUAGAUAUAUGGAAGAACACCAGUGGCGAAGGCGGCUGUCUGGUCUGUAACUGACGCUGAGGCUCGAAAGUAUGGGUAGCAAACAGGAUUAGAUACCCUGGUAGUCCAUACCGUAAACGAUGAAUGCUAAGUGUUGGAGGGUUUCCGCCCUUCAGUGCUGCAGCUAACGCAUUAAGCAUUCCGCCUGGGGAGUACGGCCGCAAGGCUGAAACUCAAAGGAAUUGACGGGGGCCCGCACAAGCGGUGGAGCAUGUGGUUUAAUUCGAAGCUACGCGAAGAACCUUACCAGGUCUUGACAUACUAUGCAAAUCUAAGAGAUUAGACGUUCCCUUCGGGGACAUGGAUACAGGUGGUGCAUGGUUGUCGUCAGCUCGUGUCGUGAGAUGUUGGGUUAAGUCCCGCAACGAGCGCAACCCUUAUUAUCAGUUGCCAGCAUUAAGUUGGGCACUCUGGUGAGACUGCCGGUGACAAACCGGAGGAAGGUGGGGAUGACGUCAAAUCAUCAUGCCCCUUAUGACCUGGGCUACACACGUGCUACAAUGGAUGGUACAACGAGUUGCGAACUCGCGAGAGUAAGCUAAUCUCUUAAAGCCAUUCUCAGUUCGGAUUGUAGGCUGCAACUCGCCUACAUGAAGUCGGAAUCGCUAGUAAUCGCGGAUCAGCAUGCCGCGGUGAAUACGUUCCCGGGCCUGUACACACCGCCCGUCACACCAUGAGAGUUUGUAACACCCAAAGUCGGUGGGGUAACCUUUUAGGAACCAGCCGCCUAAGGUGGGACAGAUGAUUAGGGUG